AUGUCGCGCGGCGGCGGGUGGUGCCCGCCGAUGGAUCUACUGCGGUCGGAGGCGAUGCAGCUGGUGCAGGUCAUCAUCCCCGCCGAGUCGGCGCGCCUCGCCGUCUCCAACCUCGGCGACCUCGGCCUCCUCCAGUUCAAGGACCUUAAUGCGGACAAGAGCCCAUUCCAACGGGCAUAUGCUGCCCAGAUCAAGACGUGUGGUGAAAUGGCUCGCAAGUUGCGUUUUUUCAAGGAACAAAUGUCGAAAGCUGCCAUAUUGACUUCUCCCACGCAAUUUUCAGGAGCUCCUUUGGAAAUUGGUGAUCUGGAGAUAAAACUUGGGGAAUUUGAAGCUGAGCUAACUGAAGUAAAUACAAAUAAUAGAAAAUUGCAGAGGACAUACAAUGAGCUGGUGGAGUACAAUGUUCUUCUAGAAAAGACCGGUGAGUUUUUCUACUCAGCUCAAAGAAGUGCGGCAGAGCAACAGAGGGAAAUGGUGGCUGAUCAGUCUGGUGAUUCUUCUCUGGAGAGUCCUUUAUUGCAUCAGGAAAUGGUGAUAGAUCCAUCGAAACAUGUGAAGCUUGGUUCCCUGAUUGGUCUUGUGCCAAAGCAAAAGGCUAUGGCCUUUGAGCGUAUACUUUAUCGUGCCACCAGGGGCAAUAUGUUACUCCGACAAGAAUCUGUUGAUGAACCUAUAACUGAUCCACAAUCUGGAGAGAAGGCCGUGAAAAAUUCUUUCGUUAUAUUCUACUCUGGGGAGAGAGCGAAAUCCAAGAUUCUAAAAAUCUGUGAUGCUUUUGGUGCCAACCGUUAUCCGUUUCCAGAAGACCUUGCCACACAAUUACAUACUAUUCAGGAGGUAUCUGGAAAAGUGUCAGAGUUGAAGGCAACUGUUGAAAUAGGUUUAGCUCAUCGUGAUGGCAUACUUAAAAGUAUAGCUUGUGAGUAUGAACAAUGGAACAACCUGUUAAAGAAGGAAAAGGCUAUUUACCACACGCUAAACAUGUUCAGUCUUGAUGUAACAAAGAAAUGUUUAGUUGCUGAGGGGUGGAGUCCAGUUUUUGCUACAAGUCAGGUACAAGAUGCACUUCAUCGUGCUACUACUGGUAGCAACUCCGAAGUUGGUUGUAUUUUCCAAAUUCUAAACACACGAGAAUCUCCGCCAACGUAUUUCCAGACAAAUAAAUUUACAUCCUCCUUCCAGGACAUUGUAGAUGCCUAUGGUAUUGCGAGCUAUCAAGAAGUAAAUCCUGGUUUAUUUACUAUCGUAACAUUCCCCUUCUUAUUUGCCGUCAUGUUUGGUGAUUGGGGUCAUGGAAUUUGUAUAUUUCUUACUGCAAUGUACCUCAUAAUCCGAGAGAAGAAGCUAGCUUCACAGAAACUAGAUGACAUAGUGGAAAUAAUGUUUGCUGGGCGCUAUGUAAUUUUGAUGAUGUCCCUUUUUUCAAUUUACACUGGAUUGAUAUAUAAUGAGUUCUUCUCGGUUCCAUUUGAGCUCUUCGGUAAAUCUGCCUAUGCCUGCCAUGAUCCUUCGUGUGGGGAUGCUACAACUGAAGGAUUAGUUAGGGUGGGGCAAACGUACCCAUUUGGUGUCGAUCCAGUGUGGCAUGGAAGCCGCAGUGAGCUGCCAUUUCUCAAUUCCCUAAAGAUGAAAAUGUCAAUUCUUCUUGGAAUUGCACAAAUGAACCUUGGAAUCGUGUUGAGUUUCUUUAAUGCGAAGUAUUUCAAAAAUACUGUUAAUGUUUGGUAUCAGUUUGUUCCUCAGCUGAUCUUCUUAAACAGCUUAUUUGGUUACCUGUCACUCCUCAUCAUUAUUAAGUGGUGCACUGGCUCAAAAGCUGACCUAUACCACAUAAUGAUAUAUAUGUUCCUGAGUCCAACGGAUGAUAUUGGGGAGAACCAGCUAUUUCCUGGGCAGAGAAUUGUGCAGCUUGUUCUACUUCUACUUGCUCUGGUGUCUGUGCCUUGGAUGCUGUUUCCGAAGCCAUUGUUUCUCAAGAAGCAACAUGAGCAGAGACACCAAGGCCAGCAUUACACCAUGCUCCAGGAGACAGAUGAAUCAGUGGCUCAAUUGGGAGGACAACAUGAAAACCCACACAGCCAUGAGGAGUUUGAAUUCAGUGAAGUUUUGGUCCACCAGCUGAUCCACACAAUUGAGUUUGUGCUCGGUGCGGUCUCCAAUACUGCCUCAUAUCUUCGUCUUUGGGCUCUCAGUCUCGCGCACUCGGAACUGUCCAGUGUCUUUUAUGAUAAGGUUCUUCUUCUAGCAUGGGGAUACAACAAUGUUAUCAUCCUUGUCAUGGGAGUAACCGUCUUCCUCUUUGCCACUAUUUUUGUUCUGCUUUCAAUGGAGACCCUAAGUGCGUUUCUGCAUGCCCUGAGGCUUCACUGGGUCGAGUUCCAGGGCAAGUUUUACGAUGGUGGUGGGUACAAGUUUGCGCCAUUCGCGUUUGCAUCAAUCAUCGAGGAGGAAGAUUAG
This 2460-nucleotide ribosomal RNA is filed under the name Triticum aestivum (bread wheat). Its description in RNAcentral is "partial small subunit ribosomal RNA". The record is from RNAcentral. Lineage: Eukaryota; Viridiplantae; Streptophyta; Magnoliopsida; Poales; Poaceae.